CGUAGGGUGCGAGCGUUAAUCGGAAUUACUGGGCGUAAAGUGUGCGCAGGCGGCCGAGCAAGUCGAGUGUGAAAGCCCCGGGCUUAACUUGGGAAUUGCGCUCGAAACUACUUGGCUGGAGUGUGGCAGAGGAAGGUGGAAUUCCACGUGUAGCGGUGAAAUGCGUAGAGAUGUGGAGGAACACCGAUGGCGAAGGCAGCCUUCUGGGCCAACACUGACGCUCAUGCACGAAAGCGUGGGGAGCAAACAGGAUUAGAUACCCUGGUAGUCCACGCCCUAAACGAUGAUGACUAGUUGUUGGGGGAGUUAAAUCCCUUAGUAACGCAGCUAACGCGUGAAGUCAUCCGCCUGGGGAGUACGGUCGCAGGAUUA
This 372-nucleotide ribosomal RNA is filed under the name uncultured organism. Its description in RNAcentral is "bacterial SSU rRNA". It matches the Rfam family "Bacterial small subunit ribosomal RNA", at positions 526 to 896 of the family's 1533-position model. The record is from RNAcentral.